Molecule: long non-coding RNA, 2060 nt
Organism: Pipra filicauda (Wire-tailed manakin)
Lineage: Eukaryota; Metazoa; Chordata; Aves; Passeriformes; Pipridae
Exons: 2
Source: RefSeq, a predicted model, not a curated record
ACCUGGAAGAGACCAGGGGGAAAAAAGCUCAGUGUAUUUCCCUACGAGGUGCAUGUUACUUCUUCACCUCAAAACCAGUUUUCAGAUAACCAGACACUAAAAACUGGACACUCUUAGUCUACUAAGAACACCAUGAUGUUGCUGAGAAGGUACACUCCUCUUCCUACUUAGUUUAUCUCCAUCUGUACAUGAAUUAGUAGUGGUCAGACUAACACAACAGCCAAACUAAAGUCAGGCUUUCUAGCCUUAAACCCCACGUGCAAUUCAUGCAACUGUUCAGCACAAAUUUAUGGGAGUUCACAGAGAUGUUUGAACUGACAUUUCUACUGACAUUUCAGAUUUUAAAACAUGUUUCCAGAUACACUGCUGCAAACAGUGCUUUCCUGGUUAUCAUCAGAGAUGCACUUUUCCUGUAGUUUUACGAAGGCAGUAGCUUUUGCUCCUUAGAUACGCUGAAGAAUACAUUGAAAACAGGGACAUUUGCUGUAUCCCAUUGGAUGAAAAAUACACAUUUUUGCUGAAAUCAUUAACUUGAGUCAGGUUAAGGGGAAAAAGACUGGAUUGCUGGAAAGAGAUAUUAAGAAUGACUACAGCAACUAUUAUUAUUAUUAUCAUUAUUAUUAUUUUAAAGUUCUCCUUUCUCAGCAGGUUUUGGACAAUAUCCCAAACUACAGAGGCCAUCUGAAGAGCUGGUACCACAGCAGCUAUAGGAGGGAGAAGUAUGGCUGAGUGACCAGCAAGGCUCUGAUGCACAUAACACCCAACAUUUAAGAAUUCUCAGUACUUGCAGUUUUGCAACGCCAAGAGGAUUUUAAAUGUUAAGUCAAAGAAAUUUCAGAUGUUUAAAAAAUGAUCAUCUUUAAUCACAUGUGUGCUGACCCUGCAAAUCUCAGUGAGAUUUCAUGGACCAAAGGUCACGUAAGUGCUAAGAUUACCUAUUGAUUUACAAGGAGGUGGCUGAUCUUCAACUAAAGAAUUGGAAACAUACCCACUGCAAGCCAAUUAAAAUACUACUUUUCAGUUAUAAGGUCUAAUUAUUAAAUGUCACCAUAGUAAAGUGCAUUUUAGGUACAAAAUACUCUGGAGUUUAAAUGCUUAAAAGAAGGCUCACCUUUCAAACUCCCUUGUUUUGGUACAUUCUUGGGCUCCUUUACUAAUCACUAUUAAGAAGUCUUGUGUUAAGACAAAUGGCACACGCUCUCUUUUAUAACCAAAUUUUUUCUUCUUGUGAUCGAGGAAGUGCCCAAAGUCAAUGUGAAACAGCUUGGAAAGACAGAAAGGUAUUUUAAGAUUAGUAAUUCCAUGUUUAAAUGAAGUCACAGUAAAAUCGAUCAUUUACUUAUAGUUCUGAUAGGUUGUUUUUUUUGAAAACAAACUCAUAUCAAAGUGAGGAUGACCUUAGGGGUAUGGUUUUAGAAAAACAUAUCUUACUUGUCCAUCAUCUUUGACCAUGAUGUUACUGUUGUGGCGAUCACCAAUGCCCAGGAUAAAGGUGGCAACACAGUAGCCGGCACAAGAACGUGUAAACAAGUCAAUAGCUGCAUCAUACCUACCCAAAACAGAAAAGGAGACACUUUCCUCAGGUAUUCUAAUAACACAGAAGUGCAAAUUUUCCUUUCUCAUUAAGAGAGCUACAAGCAGGAAUACCGGGGAAACAAGGGCAGGUAAAAAAGAAAACAAAACCAAAACCAGAUAGACACAAUUAUGGACAUAAACUUCCCACUUGAUGAACUUUAGUUCUCUUGAAAUUUCCAUCAAAAACAAGCACACGGACAAGAAAAACAGGCAACAGGAAAUCUCACAUGUCUCCUUUGUUCUUGUCCUUGAGCCACUGGUGCAAUGUAUGGCUGUUGAACUGCAGUGCUCCUUUUAAGCCUCCUUUACAUUGAAUCUGCAUGAUCGUGUGAGAGCUCCUCACGACCUCGAUGAGUCCCACACAGUCACCAAUUGAUAAACAACCAUAAGGCAACAUCCUGAAAGACAAAGCCUUGCACCUUUUUCUUCCUUUGUCAGCAGAAUCCCAUGGAUACCCAGACGGCUGUCAGGAUCCAUGCAUGCAG